GACGAACGCUGGCGGCGUGCCUAAUACAUGCAAGUCGAACGCUUUUUCUUUCACCGGAGCUUGCUCCAUCGAAAGAAAAAGAGUGGCGAACGGGUGAGUAACACGUGGGUAACCUGCCCAUCAGAAGGGGAUAACACUUGGAAACAGGUGCUAAUACCGUAUAACACUAUUUUCCGCAUGGAAGAAAGUUGAAAGGCGCUUUUGCGUCACUGAUGGAUGGACCCGCGGUGCAUUAGCUAGUUGGUGAGGUAACGGCUCACCAAGGCAACGAUGCAUAGCCGACCUGAGAGGGUGAUCGGCCACACUGGGACUGAGACACGGCCCAGACUCCUACGGGAGGCAGCAGUAGGGAAACUUCGGCAAUGGACGAAAGUCUGACCGAGCAACGCCGCGUGAGUGAAGAAGGUUUUCGGAUCGUAAAACUCUGUUGUUAGAGAAGAACAAGGAUGAGAGUAAAAUGUUCAUCCCUUGACGGUAUCUAACCAGAAAGCCACGGCUAACUACGUGCCAGCAGCCGCCGUAA
This 523-nucleotide ribosomal RNA is filed under the name uncultured bacterium. RNAcentral describes it as "partial 16S ribosomal RNA". It matches the Rfam family "Bacterial small subunit ribosomal RNA", at positions 28 to 523 of the family's 1533-position model. The record is from RNAcentral.